This is a long non-coding RNA of Leucoraja erinaceus (little skate), 2566 nucleotides long. RefSeq lists it as uncharacterized. The transcript has 2 exons. Lineage: Eukaryota; Metazoa; Chordata; Chondrichthyes; Rajiformes; Rajidae. The record is from RefSeq and is a predicted model, not a curated record.
UAAAUUAAAGUCGUCAUGUUUAGUAUUUUGAUGCAUAUCCUUUGCAUGCAAUGACUGCUUGAAGUUGUAGUGGAAGAUUGCAACCUUCACGUGGUACGCUCUGUUUCGACGAAUGCAAUCAACCUGGUGUGCACAAUCAAAUAAGAUCAAAUAGAACAAAUUGUUGUACAACUUUAGGCUGUGCACGCCAUACGCAAGAAGAAGACGACUGCUUGAAGUCUGCGAUUCAUGGACAUCACCAGUUGCUGGGCAUCUUCUCUGGUGAUGCUCUGCCAGGCCUGUAUUGCAGCCAUCUUUAGCUUAUGCGUGUUUUUGGGGACUAGUCCCCUUCAGUUUUCUCUUCAGCAUAUAAAAGGCAUGCUCAAUUGGGUUCAGAUCAGGUGAUUGACUUGGCCACUCAAGAAUUGUCUUUUUUUAGCUUUGAAUAACUCCUUUAUUGCUUUGGCGGUAUGUUUGGGAUCAUUGUCUUGCUGUAGAAUGAACCGCCGGGCAAUUAAUUUUGAGGCAUUUGUAUGAACUUGAGCAGAUAGGAUGUGUCUAUACACCAGAAUUAAUUAUGCUGCUACCAUCAGCAGUUGUAUUAGCAAUGAAGAUAAGUGAGCCAGCACCUACAGCAGCCAUGCAUGCCCAGGCUAUAACACUCCCACCAUCGUGUUGCACAGAUGAAGUGGUAUGCUUUGGAUCUUGGGCAGUUCCUCUCUCCUCCAUACCUUGCUUUGGCCAUCACUCUGAUAUAAGUUAAUCUUCAUCUCAUCUGUCCACAACUUUUUCCAGAACCGUGGUUGCUCUUUUAAGUACUUGGCAAACUGUAACCCGGCCAUUGCAUUUUUGCAGCUAAACAUUGGUUUGCUUGCAGGGUAACCUCUGUAUUUCUGUUUGUGAUGUCUUCUGCGAACAGUGGUCAUUGACAAAUCUACACCUGACUCCUGAAGAGUGUUUCUGAUCUGUCAGACAGGUGUUUGGGUUUUUUUCUUUAUUAUAGAGAUAAUUCUUCUGUCAUCAGCUGUGGAGGUCUUCCUUGGUCUGCCAGUCCCUUUACGAUAAUCUCACAAUGGAUUCUUUGACUUUCAUUGGCACAACUUUGGUCCUCAUGUUGAUAAACAGCAAUAAGUGUUUCCAAAGGUGAUGGAGAGACUGGAGGAAAGACUAGGUGCUGAGAGCUCUCUAAUACCUGCAUUAAGGCGGCAAUUAAACACACCUGAGCAAUUACAAACACCUGUGAAGCCAUGUGUCCCAAACAUUAUGGUGCCCUGAAAUGGGGGGACUAUGUAUAAACACAGCUGUAAUUUCUACAUGGUGAAACCAAAAUGUAUAAAAAUGCCUUUUAAUAAAAUCUGACAAUGUGCACUUUAACCACAUGUGAUUUUUUUUCUAUUACAAGUCUCAAAUUGUGGAGGAGUACAGAGGCAAAUAUAUAAAUGAAGGGUCUUUGUCCCAAACAUUAUGGAGGGCAGGAGAAUGGGGUUGGAAGGGAGAGAUAGAUCAGCCAUGAUUGAAACGCUGUGUAGACUAGAUGGGCCAAAUGGCCUAAUUCUACUCCUAUCACAUGACCUUAUGACAUUUGGCAAACUGGGCUGAAUGGGGCAAUCAGCUUCAUUUCAGGGCUUCAUACUGAGUGUGGGAUCAUCCUGAGCACUGUUGCAUCACAUUAUUAUGAAACAGGCUUCAACUUCUAAGAUUUAAGAUUCAUUAAAUUGCAUUUUUUAAGCCAUAACAAUCAUAAACUUUUAUUUUAAUCGAAAACGAUGGCUGCAUUGAUCACAUCAGCAGGUCUUUCCUUCUGAUUUGAAAUGAGCAAUUAAAUAAUAAUUCUAUAUUGCUCUUUGACUGUAGUGAAAAGAAGACUAUUAUAUUGUCAUAGUCCGAUGUGAAGUGAAAUGAUAUGAUUGCGGCUCACAACUGAAAGAUAUAAUCUCAUUUGAGUGCAAUCUGACAAUAGUGUCUUGUAUCACAAUAUUCCCAUGUCACAUUGAAGGAAACAUAAUAAUGAUGUUGUCAUUUUUUCCCAGAAAGGCAGUAGACGAAUAGUACAUAAAGCUUUGCACAGUUGUCCUGGAGUUUGAUGUAUUUUUGCCUAGAAUGACUAAUGUUGUAUGACGAUGAUUGUUGUAUUGGAAACUGUGUACAUGACCAUUUUUUUCUUUCAAAAGCCUAAAAUCCACAUCUUUCUUGAAAAUAAGUUAUGUUUUUAUUUGUUACAAUAGCAACCUAAUUUAACAACUUUGUAUUGCAGCCAAAGUUUCAAGUAGUGUUGAUCAAGAACCGACGUGGAGCUCGGUGCCCAUGUAGAAUAAUAGGAUGCUCUAAUCUUGGUGGUAUUCUCCCAAAGAUAUUGUUAUGGGACAGCUGUAGUUCUUCCAGUAUUGAAAGGAGUUUUCUUUGUACCUCGCAAGAGAGAGAGAAGCAUGUUGAAAUAGUGGCAGAGAGAUAAAAUUUGCCAGUGAACAGAAGCAGACAACAAGCAGAAAUUCAUCAAGCAGCUAAUCUGCAAAAGGUGAUGAUGAGGUGGCUGCCAUGUUCUCCUUGUGUAUGAAAGGCACACCUUCAAUAAAUCUAUUGUACAUAG